This 76-nucleotide transfer RNA is filed under the name Actinobacillus equuli. RNAcentral's name for it is "tRNA-Ala(tgc)". It matches the Rfam family "tRNA". Rfam says of the family: Transfer RNA (tRNA) molecules are approximately 80 nucleotides in length. The record is from RNAcentral. Lineage: Bacteria; Pseudomonadati; Pseudomonadota; Gammaproteobacteria; Pasteurellales; Pasteurellaceae. RNAcentral also lists the same sequence under 2 other names.
UGGGAUAUAGCUCAGCUGGGAGAGCGCCUGCCUUGCACGCAGGAGGUCAGCGGUUCGAUCCCGCUUAUCUCCACCA